AACGCUGGCGGCGUGCCUAAUACAUGCAAGUCGAGCGAAUGGAUUAAGAGCUUGCUCUUAUGAAGUUAGCGGCGGACGGGUGAGUAACACGUGGGUAACCUGCCCAUAAGACUGGGAUAACUCCGGGAAACCGGGGCUAAUACCGGAUAACAUUUUGAACCGCAUGGUUCGAAAUUGAAAGGCGGCUUCGGCUGUCACUUAUGGAUGGACCCGCGUCGCAUUAGCUAGUUGGUGAGGUNACGGCUCACCAAGGCAACGAUGCGUAGCCGACCUGAGAGGGUGAUCGGCCACACUGGGACUGAGACACGGCCCAGACUCCUACGGGAGGCAGCAGUAGGGAAUCUUCCGC
RNAcentral lists this ribosomal RNA (349 nucleotides) under Bacillus cereus. Its description in RNAcentral is "bacterial SSU rRNA". It matches the Rfam family "Bacterial small subunit ribosomal RNA", at positions 32 to 369 of the family's 1533-position model. Lineage: Bacteria; Bacillati; Bacillota; Bacilli; Caryophanales; Bacillaceae. The record is from RNAcentral.